Molecule: non-coding RNA, 114 nt
Filed under: Clostridium kluyveri
Lineage: Bacteria; Bacillati; Bacillota; Clostridia; Eubacteriales; Clostridiaceae
Also listed under: 1 other name
Description: SAM-I sequence
Rfam family: SAM riboswitch aptamer (S box leader)
About the family: The SAM riboswitch is found upstream of a number of genes which code for proteins involved in methionine or cysteine biosynthesis in Gram-positive bacteria.
Source: RNAcentral
UUCUUAUCAAGAGAGACGGAGGGACUGGCCCUAUGAUGUCCGGCAACCAGAAGAUUUUUAUUUCAUGGUGCUAAUUCCAGCAGGUAUUAAUAUGAAAAGCCUGAUAGAUAAGAG